CGCACAUUGCGCCCCUCAGUAUUCUGGAGGGCAUACCUGUUCGAGCGUCAUUAUCCAUUAUCAAGCUAGGCUUGCUAUUGGGCUUGGAUCGUUAAGAGAUCCGCCUAAAAGAUAGAUGACGGGGUAAGGUUAAUACCCGAUGCAACGAGCUUUACAGCACGCGUCGGUUAAAGGCUUUACUCCAGUUUAACCAUCAUUUUUCAGAAGUUGACCUCGGAUCAGGUAGGAUUACCCGCUGAACUUAA
Molecule: unclassified non-coding RNA, 245 nt
Filed under: Xylaria sp.
Lineage: Eukaryota; Fungi; Ascomycota; Sordariomycetes; Xylariales; Xylariaceae
Description: partial contains 5.8S ribosomal RNA, internal transcribed spacer 2, and large subunit ribosomal RNA
Source: RNAcentral